This 500-nucleotide ribosomal RNA is filed under the name uncultured bacterium. RNAcentral's name for it is "partial 16S ribosomal RNA". It matches the Rfam family "Bacterial small subunit ribosomal RNA", at positions 30 to 523 of the family's 1533-position model. The record is from RNAcentral.
AUUGAACGCUGGCGGAAUGCUUUACACAUGCAAGUCGAACGGCAGCACGGACUUCGGUCUGGUGGCGAGUGGCGAACGGGUGAGUAAUGUAUCGGAACGUGCCCAGUCGUGGGGGAUAACGUAGUGAAAAUUACGCUAAUACCGCAUACGAUCUAUGGAUGAAAGCGGGGGAUCGCAAGACCUCGCGCGAUUGGCGCGGCCGAUAUCAGAUUAGGUAGUUGGUGGGGUAAAGGCCCACCAAGCCCACGAUCUGUAGCUGGUCUGAGAGGACGACCAGCCACACUGGAACUGAGACACGGUCCAGACUCCUACGGGAGGCAGCAGUGGGGAAUUUUGGACAAUGGGCGAAAGCCUGAUCCAGCCAUUCCGCGUGCAGGAUGAAGGCCCUCGGGUUGUAAACUGCUUUUGUACAGAACGAAAAGGUUUCUACUAAUACUAGGAGCUCAUGACGGUACUGUAAGAAUAAGCACCGGCUAACUACGUGCCAGCAGCCGCCGUAA